GCCAUUUAAAAAUAGAAGCUGGAGAGUCAUCCACAACUAAGCCUACAGAACCACAAUUGAGAUAAAAGACCAGAAGUAUUUGCUGUGAACGAUGGUGUGGCUUUCUUUCACUGAGCACUUUUAAUUAUGAAGAAGAAGGUACUUAUCGGAAGCCCGGCUUUGACUGAUGAAGGAGCAAAUGAAGUGAAUGUAAGGACAUAAGGAGAACACUGGAUGCUGUGACGUGAAUGUCAACCAAAGGAAGUGUAAUCAAACCUAAAUUAAUGUCUCUGGUAAUCAACUCUCA
Long non-coding RNA from Oreochromis aureus, 286 nucleotides. RefSeq lists it as uncharacterized. The transcript is spliced from 3 exons. The record is from RefSeq and is a predicted model, not a curated record. NCBI's taxonomy places the organism in Eukaryota, Metazoa, Chordata, Actinopteri, Cichliformes, Cichlidae.